GACGAACGCUGGCGGCGUGCUUAACACAUGCAAGUCGAACGAAGAGCGAUGGAAGCUUGCUUCUAUCAAUCUUAGUGGCGAACGGGUGAGUAACGCGUAAUCAACCUGCCCUUCAGAGGGGGACAACAGUUGGAAACGACUGCUAAUACCGCAUACGAUCUAAUCUCGGCAUCGAGGAUAGAUGAAAGGUGGCCUCUACAUGUAAGCUAUCACUGAAGGAGGGGAUUGCGUCUGAUUAGCUAGUUGGAGGGGUAACGGCCCACCAAGGCGAUGAUCAGUAGCCGGUCUGAGAGGAUGAACGGCCACAUUGGGACUGAGACACGCCCCAGACUCCUACGGGAAGCAGCAGUGGGGAAUCUUCCGCAAUGGACGAAAGUCUGACGGAGCAACGCCGCGUGAGUGAUGACGGCCUUCGGGUUGUAAAGCUCUGUUAAUCGGGACGAAAGGCCUUCUUGCGAAUAGGGAGAAGGAUUGACGGUACCGGAAAAGAAAGCCACGGCUAACUACGUG
This 510-nucleotide ribosomal RNA is filed under the name uncultured bacterium. RNAcentral's name for it is "partial 16S ribosomal RNA". It matches the Rfam family "Bacterial small subunit ribosomal RNA", at positions 28 to 507 of the family's 1533-position model. The record is from RNAcentral.